This is a non-coding RNA of Habropoda laboriosa, 128 nucleotides long. NCBI's taxonomy places the organism in Eukaryota, Metazoa, Arthropoda, Insecta, Hymenoptera, Apidae. The record is from Rfam.
ACCAGCGGCCGUAGCCGUGCAUGCCUACAGGUUCCCGUUCGAUCACCGAAGUCAAGAUCACUGGGGCGGCGACCGUAAGAAGGAUGGGUGACCGCUCCUCACCUGUCUCUGGAAGCGUACUGCUGGCU